AAACUAGGAUUAGAUACCCUAUUAUUUAAGAGCUUAACAUUGUAAGUAAAUAAAGAUUAUGAAAGCAAAAAAUUAUGGCGGUAUUUUAAGCUUUUCAGAGGAAUUUGCUCUUUAAUGGAUAAAACACCUAAAUCUUACUUAAAUUUGUUAUGCACUUUGUAUACCACUAUAAAAACAAUUUAUAACUUUAAUUGUUGGUAUUUAUUUAAAUUAAAAUAUAUUAAGUCAAGGUGCAGUAAAAAUUUAAGGAUGAAGUGAAUUACAUUACUUUUUAGAGAUUAAGAAAAUUAAAAUAUAUUUAGGAUUUGAAAGUAAAAUUAAAAUAUAAUGUUAAUUUGAAUUAAGCUCUAAAAUAUGUACAUAUCGCCCGUCACUCUUUUACAAGAUAAGUCGUAACAUAG
RNAcentral lists this ribosomal RNA (401 nucleotides) under Rhipicephalus turanicus. RNAcentral describes it as "partial 12S ribosomal RNA". The record is from RNAcentral. Lineage: Eukaryota; Metazoa; Arthropoda; Arachnida; Ixodida; Ixodidae.